Long non-coding RNA from Esox lucius (northern pike), 955 nucleotides. RefSeq lists it as uncharacterized. The transcript has 3 exons. The record is from RefSeq and is a predicted model, not a curated record. NCBI's taxonomy places the organism in Eukaryota, Metazoa, Chordata, Actinopteri, Esociformes, Esocidae.
GACGUCUUCUUCUGACCUCGCACCGCGACCCGUGAAACCGAAGAAGAAGGGUGGGGAGAGGCAAGACAGGACGGCAGCAGGGGCGAGCAUGGUUUUACAGGAGUACGGGGGCGUGGCCUGUCAGAGGUGUUGCGAUGAAUGUGGUCACAAAAAGGAGCUGUUUAGCAGGAGAUUGAGCUGCCCAGCCAUAUUACAGAGGCAUCGCUCUUGAUUCCGCUAUGCAAUGUUAUGGGACAUUGGUGAUGCGCAGGAUGGCCAGAAGGUGGCGCUCCAGCACGGUCAACAACGCAGAAAACAACAGUGCAGUGGAAACAAUAGCCGGGUGAGACAAGUUCACCUUCAGAGUCCCCCAGGCCUCUGCCCAAUGGAACGUCUUUGGGAUGAGCUAGAACUGCACCACGGACGUCCAAUCAGCAGCUUCUUCCCGAUGCCUUCAUGUCCGCGUGGACUAACAUCCCCUGGAUUGUUUCAGACACCUCGUGGGGUCAAUGCCUGGGGAGAAUUCAGAUUGUCCUGGAGGCAAAGAGGGUCCGACCGCUACUGGAUGUGUGUAUCUAAUAAACUGGCCACUGACUCAAAAAGAUGACUGAUGAUCUUUUGACUUUUGUAAUGUCAUGUUCAUGACUACGUUGUGAUCGUGUUGUGUCAUGUUUAUGCCUGCAUAAUGAUCAUGUUAUGACCACGUUAUGUCAUGUUUAUGGCCACGUUAUGAUCAUGUUAUGAGGUGAAAAAAGAAGUGUUACCAUGGUAUGUUUUGUGUUCUGCUAAAUAUGACAACACAUGGUUUUUUAUGUAAAGCUGAAUGCUAAGCUUUACUAAAUAGGCAGACAUGUUUAAUCAAGAUCUUGUAAUUUGCAUCUGGAUGUCAUUUAAAGGAAAUGUUUGUUUAUGACCUUAACUUUUCAUUGAUGUCUGAUCUUUGCGUGUAGUUUACUAAUAAAAUACCUUCGUUUCA